GACCGACUUCACGCGACGACUGGUCGAAGGUGCCACCAAACCAACUGCCGAAACCUGGUUCGAAUGGGUUCUUCCUCGAGCAACGCCAAGGAAGCGGCGGCGGCGGCGCCACCGCCACCACCUCCUCCUGCUGCGCCGCCGGCCCCCCUCCACGUGAUGGACGCGGACGAGGACGACGACAACGUGAAGCAGCUCAACGAGUGCGCCGCCCUCUACCUCUCCCUCCAGGACUGCCUCACCGAGUCCGACCGCAACUGGAAGGCCUGCCAAGCACGUACCUUAUGUGGUGCUCAAAUAAAUGAACAAAUGUAGAUGUUUUUUAAGGAAGAAGAGAGGGAGGUUCCUGCUUUGAUGAUGUUCAAGCCUUGAAAGCAUGUGAGGCGAGCAGAAACAAAAAUCAGAAAACAUGAAAUACUUUCAUGCACCUUCGUACAGGCUGCAUGCUGAAGGCACUUCACUCAUAUCAUCUUCGUUAAGACAAAAGCACAACGUGCUGAAUUCUCAGCUGUUGAUGGAGAAUAUUUGCAACAUCACAAAUUGUAGUGUGCUUUAUGAUCAGAUUGCUUUUAUUUGCAACAACCACUACACCAGAUUGGAUGUUUCAAAUAUUACUUGUCAUUUCUAAUAAAUGUCGGCAGUUUUGACAUA
This is an RNA transcript of Triticum urartu, 648 nucleotides long. It is a transcript of the gene named Cox19-like CHCH family protein, with no coding region annotated. NCBI's taxonomy places the organism in Eukaryota, Viridiplantae, Streptophyta, Magnoliopsida, Poales, Poaceae. The record is from RefSeq and is a predicted model, not a curated record.